This 91-nucleotide transfer RNA is filed under the name Candidatus Sungbacteria bacterium RIFCSPLOWO2_02_FULL_51_17. RNAcentral's name for it is "tRNA-Tyr". It matches the Rfam family "tRNA". Rfam says of the family: Transfer RNA (tRNA) molecules are approximately 80 nucleotides in length. Their secondary structure includes four short double-helical elements and three loops (D, anti-codon, and T loops). The record is from RNAcentral. Lineage: Bacteria; Candidatus Sungiibacteriota.
GAGCGGGAUAGGGAAGAGGCCGAACCCGGCAGACUGUAAAUCUGCCGCUCCCAAGGGAGCCGCGCUGGUUCGAAUCCAGCUCCCCUCACCA